AGAGUUUGAUCAUGGCUCAGAAUUAACGCUGGCAGAGUGCAUAACACAUGCAAGUCGAGCGGAAUACGUAGCAAUACGUAUUUAGCGGCAGACGAGUGAGUAACACGUAAACAAUCUACCCUCGAAUGGCGAAUAACUAUCCGAAAGGAUAGCUAAUGCGCCGUACUCUCACCGGAAGGCAUCUUUUGGUGAGGAUAGAUCCGCAAGGAUCGUUCAAGGAGGAGUUUGCGGCCCAUCAGCUAGUUGGCGGUGUAACGGACCACCAAGGCUACGACGGGUACCCGGGCUGAAAGGCCGGACGGGCACGAUGGCACUGAGACACGGGCCAUACUCCUACGGGAGGCAGCAGUGGGGAAUCUUGGACAAUGGGCGAAAGCCUGAUCCAGCAACUCUGCGUGAGGGACGAAGGUCUUCGGAUCGUAAACCUCUUUUGUAUGGGACGAAAUCCCGCAAGGGUCUGACGGUACCAUACGAAUAAGCAACGGCUAACUAUGUGCCAGCAGCCGCGGUAAGACAUAGGUUGCGAGCGUUAUUCGGAAUUACUAGGCGUAAAGCGAGUGUAGGCGGACCUUUAAGUCUGACGUUAAAUCUCCUGGCUUAACUAGGAGCUGUCGUCGGAUACUGAAGGCCUCGAAUGGAGUAGGGGGCAGGGGAAUUCCCGGUGUAGCGGAAAUGCGUAGAUAUCGGGAGGAACACCUAUGGCGAAAGCACCUGCCUGGGCUUCUAUUGACGCUAAGACUCGAAAGCUGGGGGAGCAAACAGGAUUAGAUACCCUAGUAGUCC
Molecule: ribosomal RNA, 783 nt
Filed under: uncultured bacterium
Lineage: Bacteria
Description: bacterial SSU rRNA
Rfam family: Bacterial small subunit ribosomal RNA
Source: RNAcentral